UCGAGAUGAAAUCAAUGCAACUUCAAUGGAGUCACGUGUCACCUCAGAUGAAAGACUUGAAUAAAAUGUCUAGCUUAUGUCAUUUCUACAGUGGCUUAUGAUCAAUCAGUUUCUAUGGUGGAUAAUAGAGAGUAAAAAUCUCUAGUAUCUCAUUUAUUGAACUUUGGAGAUCAGGAGGUGUUCUGCUUAUAUAUCUUUGCUAGAGAAGGCUUGAUGGAUCUGAUAAGUUCAAGUCCUUACCAAAUCAACUAAACGGUCUCAUAUCUCUUAA
This is a long non-coding RNA of Pistacia vera, 271 nucleotides long. RefSeq lists it as uncharacterized. The record is from RefSeq and is a predicted model, not a curated record. The transcript has 2 exons. Lineage: Eukaryota; Viridiplantae; Streptophyta; Magnoliopsida; Sapindales; Anacardiaceae.